AAAAUAUAUGUCACUAGCAAACCCAGGGAGGAGGUGAGAUGUGAAUGGAAUCUGCAAACAAGAGUUCAGCUGAAGCCACCAGCAGGUACCAGGAGGAAGUUCCACAUUCACCAGCCUACAGUGAGGACAGAUGCCUGCUUUUGGGGACCCUGCAGUCCUAGUGGGGAGAGGGGAUGUCCAGGCAAGAUUUGGACAUUGACUGCAUGCAAGUCUAAGAACAAGCUAAGUGGGACCAAGACUGGCCAGCACUGGACACUGAAAUGCUGAAGGAGUCAUCAGGCCUGAUUCAAUCUCAGCCUGUACAAACAGCUCCAAGAGACAGAACAAAAGGCACUCAGAGUUAAUCAUGCCUACCAACCGGCAUUAGAAAUGAUCACUUUCUGGUUUAAUGAACACCCAGGGUUUACUUAACUCCAUUUCCAGAAAUCCCACAUACUAAGCUUAAGGUCUCAGAGAUCUUAAGAGAAACCUCCAAAUCAGAGAGCAGACUGUACAAUCCAGCUAUGCCAAGCUAACAACAACAUUCAACAAUAACUGUAAGAACAGGAGUAGCAGCUGUCACCCCAUCAGUUACAGCCCACCUGGUGCUGUUCUAUGAGCUGUAUAUUCAUUAGGUCAUUAAAUCCUCACAACCCUACAAGGUGCCUUCUAUUAUCUCCCCCGACUCCACAUUUCAGUCUAAAGUUUAACAAUGCUACUAAACACUAUCACCUGAUCAACAACCAACAAAUAUAUAAAAGGGUAGCUCCUUCAAUUUACAUGAAGCAAAUAAGGAGCCUUAAGAGAAUCUGUCCUAAUAUGGAAAGUAUGGACCUAUGGCUCCCAAACGAUGUACCAAGACACCCCGGGGUGUUGCAGCAAACCCACAGGGACACUAUUUUUUUUUUUUGGUUUGUUUUUUUAGGAAAACAGUAAUGCUCAGCUGUCGAAUGCUGUGCAAAGCACCAAUGUGAGACCAGACUGCAUUACAGUCCCUGCAGUGACAUCUUAUCUUUGUGAAGCUGGGUUUUCAGCAGCUACUGUGAUAAAAGACAAGUACUGUAGAAAAAUCAGCAUGGAAAAAAUGAUUGGUAUGAACCAGGAAAUAAGGGCAGUGGUGUCCAAUCUAGUUCUAAGGUUUGAGACGUUGUAGUGCCCAAUGGGUACACACACUUCACUAGUAAGUAAUUAUGGCUAAGAGUGAAAUAAAAAUAUGUUCUUUUUCUUUCAGUUUAUAUAUAUUGUUGUUUCAAAGGGCUAUUGCAUGUUAGAGCAAAAAUACAUUGUCUGAGCCCGACUCCUUAAUAAACAGAACUGUUAUUUGUGUCGUUUGGCCUGAGUGCACCAUGAAAACUCAUUGAAAGAAGCCACGAUUCCAAGGUGGAAGUCUGACCAGGCAAUAAGGAGCUCUGGGUUAGCACUUCUGUAACUAUCCGCAUGACUGACUUGCUGUUGGGGCACAGGAAAUCAGAGUAUGCAAAUCUCACA
Long non-coding RNA from Manis javanica (Malayan pangolin), 1467 nucleotides. RefSeq lists it as uncharacterized. NCBI's taxonomy places the organism in Eukaryota, Metazoa, Chordata, Mammalia, Pholidota, Manidae. The record is from RefSeq and is a predicted model, not a curated record.